GGGCACUUAGUUUAGGGGUAUAACGUUCGCUUCGCAUGCGAAAGGUCGUGGGUUCAAUUCCCACAGUGUCCA
RNAcentral lists this transfer RNA (72 nucleotides) under Agaricus bisporus var. burnettii JB137-S8. RNAcentral describes it as "tRNA-Ala (CGC) (tRNA-Ala-CGC-1-1)". It matches the Rfam family "tRNA". Rfam says of the family: Transfer RNA (tRNA) molecules are approximately 80 nucleotides in length. Their secondary structure includes four short double-helical elements and three loops (D, anti-codon, and T loops). Further hydrogen bonds mediate the characteristic L-shaped molecular structure. tRNAs have two regions of fundamental functional importance: the anti-codon, which is responsible for specific mRNA codon recognition, and the 3' end, to which the tRNAs corresponding amino acid is attached (by aminoacyl-tRNA synthetases). tRNAs cope with the degeneracy of the genetic code in two manners: having more than one tRNA (with a specific anti-codon) for a particular amino acid; and 'wobble' base-pairing, i.e. permitting non-standard base-pairing at the 3rd anti-codon position. Lineage: Eukaryota; Fungi; Basidiomycota; Agaricomycetes; Agaricales; Agaricaceae. RNAcentral also lists the same sequence under 1 other name. The record is from RNAcentral.